UACGUAGGGGGCAAGCGUUGUCCGGAUUUAUUGGGCGUAAAGAGCGUGUAGGCGGCCUGACAGGUCUGCUGUGAAAACUCGAGGCUCAACCUCGAGAUGUCGGCGGAAACCGUCUGGCUAGAGUCCGGAAGAGGAGAGUGGAAUUCCUGGUGUAGCGGUGAAAUGCGCAGAUAUCAGGAAGAACACCUAUGGCGAAGGCAGCUCUCUGGGACGGUACUGACGCUGAGACGCGAAAGCGUGGGGAGCGAGCAGG
This 253-nucleotide ribosomal RNA is filed under the name uncultured bacterium. RNAcentral's name for it is "partial 16S ribosomal RNA". It matches the Rfam family "Bacterial small subunit ribosomal RNA", at positions 524 to 776 of the family's 1533-position model. The record is from RNAcentral.